AGUGAACGCUGGCGGUAGGCCUAACACAUGCAAGUCGAACGGCAGCACAGUAAGAGCUUGCUCUUACGGGUGGCGAGUGGCGGACGGGUGAGGAAUACAUCGGAAUCUACUUUUUCGUGGGGGAUAACGUAGGGAAACUUACGCUAAUACCGCAUACGACCUACGGGGGAAAGCGGGGGAUCUUCGGACCUUGCGCGAUUGAAUGAGCCGAUGUCGGAUUAGCUAGUUGGCGGGGUAAAGGCCCACCAAGGCGACGAUCCGUAGCUGGUCUGAGAGGAUGAUCAGCCACACUGGAACUGAGACACGGUCCAGACUCCUACGGGAGGCAGCAGUGGGGAAUAUUGGACAAUGGGCGCAAGCCUGAUCCAGCCAUACCGCGUGGGUGAAGAAGGCCUUCGGGUUGUAAAGCCCUUUUGUUGGGAAAGAAAAGCAGCAGGUUAAUACCCCGCUGUUCUGACGGUACCCAAAGAAUAAGCACCGGCUAACUUCGUG
This 492-nucleotide ribosomal RNA is filed under the name uncultured bacterium. RNAcentral's name for it is "partial 16S ribosomal RNA". It matches the Rfam family "Bacterial small subunit ribosomal RNA", at positions 29 to 507 of the family's 1533-position model. The record is from RNAcentral.